GUGGGGAAUAUUGGACAAUGGGCGAAAGCCUGAUCCAGCCAUGCCGCGUGUGUGAAGAAGGUCUUCGGAUUGUAAAGCACUUUAAGUUGGGAGGAAGGGCAGUAAGUUAAUACCUUGCUGUUUUGACGUUACCGACAGAAUAAGCACCGGCUAACUUCGUGCCAGCAGCCACGGUAAUACGAAGGGUGCAAGCGUUAAUCGGAAUUACUGGGCGUAAAGCGCGCGUAGGUGGUUUUGUAAGUUGGAGGUGAAAUCCCCGGGCUCAACCUGGGAACUGCCUCCACAACUGCAUGACUAGAGUACGGUAGAGGGUAGUGGAAUUUCCUGUGUAGCGGUGAAAUGCGUAGAUAUAGGAAGGAACACCAGUGGCGAAGGCGACUACCUGGACUGAUACUGACACUGAGGUGCGAAAGCGUGGGGAGCAAACAGGAUUAGAUACCCCAGUAGUCC
Molecule: ribosomal RNA, 450 nt
Filed under: uncultured bacterium
Lineage: Bacteria
Description: partial 16S ribosomal RNA
Rfam family: Bacterial small subunit ribosomal RNA
Source: RNAcentral